ANAGUUUGAUGAUGGCUCAGAAUCAACGCUGGCGGCGCGCUUAACACAUGCAAGUCGAACGAGAAAGCAUCCUUCGGGGUGUGAGUACAGUGGCGCACGGGUGAGUAACACGUGGGUUACCUGCCCUCCGGUGGGGAAUAACUCCGCGAAAGUGGAGCUAAUACCGCAUACGACCUUUGGGUGAAAGUCCUAGGACGCCGGAGGAGGGGCCCGCGGCCGAUUAGCUUGUUGGUGAGGUAAUGGCUCACCAAGGCUGCAAUCGGUAGCCGGCCUGAGAGGGCACACGGCCACACUGGCACUGAGACACGGGCCAGACUCCUACGGGAGGCAGCAGUGGGGAAUCUUGCACAAUGGGGGAAACCCUGAUGCAGCGACGCCGCGUGGGCGAUGAAGUCCUUCGGGGCGUAAAGCUCUUUCAGUGGGAACGAUAAUGACGGUACCCACAGAAGAAGCUGCGGCUAACUACGUGCCAGCAGCCGCGGUAAUACGUAGGCAGCGAGCGUUGUUCGGAGUUACUGGGCGUAAAGAGUGCGUAGGCGGUUACGUAAGUCUGGUGUGAAAUCUCCCGGCUCAACUGGGAGGGUGCGCCGGAAACUGCGGAGCUUGAGCACGGGAGAGGAAAGCGGAAUUCCUGGUGUAGCGGUGAAAUGCGUAGAUAUCAGGAGGAACACCGGUGGUGUAGACGGCUUUCUGGACCGUUGCUGACGCUGAGGCACGAAAGCGUGGGGAGCAAACAGGAUUAGAUACCCUGGUAGUCCACGCCCUAAACGAUGCA
Molecule: ribosomal RNA, 775 nt
Filed under: uncultured Acidobacteriota bacterium
Lineage: Bacteria; Pseudomonadati; Acidobacteriota
Description: bacterial SSU rRNA
Rfam family: Bacterial small subunit ribosomal RNA
Source: RNAcentral